RNAcentral lists this microRNA precursor (59 nucleotides) under Limulus polyphemus (Atlantic horseshoe crab). Its description in RNAcentral is "Lpo-Mir-276-P6_pre stem-loop". The record is from RNAcentral. Lineage: Eukaryota; Metazoa; Arthropoda; Merostomata; Xiphosura; Limulidae.
AGCGAGGUAUGGAGCUCUUACAGAGUGUUUUUAAACGUAGGAACUUCAUACCAUGCUCG